ACUGUGGCCAGCUCACUAAUAAUCACAGAGGAAGGAGGGAGACCGAAUGCACCCCCCCGGGACAAAAUGAGUUUGACACCCCUGGCAUAGAGAGAGGACACUGAGGAAGCUGUAGGGUUAAGUAAGUUACUGUAGGGAUGUUGAAGACACUGAGAUUAUAGACAGCCCACUAACAGAGACAUGACCCAUUGCAACAGAAGAGCCAUAACAACAACGAAGGGCUUUACCAGUGUAGUAAGGUGGGGUACCUAGCUAAACAUAGACGGUGACGUUUUGUUUGAAGGCUAGACUUCCAGAGAAGGAUCAACUAAAGCUGAAGAGGACUCUCCUUCCAAAGAGAAAUAACAGAGUAACAGAAUCCAUUCCAGCUGAAGAGGACUCUCCUUCCAAAGAGAAAUAACACAGAGUAACAGAAUCCAUUCCAGCUGAAGAGGACUCUCCUUCCAAAGAAAAUAACACAGUAACAGAAUCCAUUCCAGCUGAAGAGGACUCUCCUUCCAAAGAGAAAUAACACAGAGUAACAGAAUCCAUUCCAGCUGAAGAGGACUCUCCUUCCAAAGAAAAUAACA
Molecule: long non-coding RNA, 569 nt
Organism: Salvelinus namaycush (lake trout)
Lineage: Eukaryota; Metazoa; Chordata; Actinopteri; Salmoniformes; Salmonidae
Exons: 3
Source: RefSeq, a predicted model, not a curated record